CUCUGCCUCAUCAGUGCGGACGGUUGGGUAUUGGCCCACCGUGACAAUCACGAGUAACGGAGAAUUAGGGUUCGACUCCGGAGAGGAAGCCUUAACACGGGAAGUCUGCGAACGGCUCAGUACACCAGAGAUAAUUUUCUUGGUAGAAAAGUUGGCGCAAGUCAAACGAGAAUAACCAAAGUAACCCUUUGGCUAAUGCAUGCUAGUGAAGGGGCCCGCAAGGGUCGUCCUAUUCCGUUGGUAAUAUGGUGGCCGUUGCCCGGGGUCCUGGUGCGCAGGAUUCCCGCGAGGUUGGGACAGGAUACCUGGUCGAGCGGGGCCUGUGCAUUCCCGGGUGACGAAGAUGAAUCUGGAAAAGAUUAAAGCUCUGCCUCAUCAGUGCGGACGGUUGGGUAUUGGCCCACCGUGACAAUCACGAGUAACGGAGAAUUAGGGUUCGACUCCGGAGAGGAAGCCUGAGAGAUGGCUGCCACAUCCAAGGAAGGCAGCAGGCGCGCAAAUUACCCAAUCCCAACACGGGGAGGUAGUGACAAGAAAUACCGGCUCAGGUGGCCUUGUGCUAUCUGGGACCUGGAAUGAGAACAGUUCAAACUUCUUAUCUAGUAUCGAUUGGAGGGCAAGCUCUGGUGCCAGCAGCCGCGGUAAUUCCAGCUCCAAUAGCGUAUAUUAUUUUUGUUGCGGUUAAAAAGCUCGUAGUCGAUAGUUUGCGCCCCGUCUGUGGGUCGAUUCGGGCGUGCCUCGGCCAGAAAUGGCGCUGGACGUGCGGGACCUGGGCUGCCCUGGGGCCCGGGCCGGCGUUUGGCGUACGCUCGUGCGGCUUUACGGGGGUGCACGGCCUUCUGUAAGCCACCCGCAAGGGUGCAAGGGGCCUGCUUCUGGGAUUAAAUCAAAACGCUCAAGGUGGGCGCAGUUCACCGUCAGGUGUCUGUAUGUUUGAAUGAUUAAGCUUGGGAUGGCGCGGCGACAAAGAGUGCAAUGCUCCGAAGCCCGCAAGGGUCCAGCGCACCGGCAGGGGAUGCCAUCACGGGGCGGUGCGCUGUAAAUUCUAUGCCCUGACGAGACCGUAGGUACCACGGGGGGAGAGGUGAAAUUCCAUGAUCCUCGUGUGACAACCAAAGGCGAAAGCAUGCGGUUAGGAUGGGCCAGCUGAUCAAGGACGAAAGCCGGGGGAGCGAAGACGAUUAGAUACCGUCGUAGUCCCGGCAGUAAACGAUACCACUUCGGUGCCGCGAGGAAGCAGAAAGAACGUUUUGCUUUUGGCGGCGCCAUCCCGGAAACGAAAAGCAUUCGGUUCCGGGGGGAGUAUGGUCGCAAGGCUGAAACUUAAAGGAAUUGACGGAAGGACACCACCACGGUGUGGAGUAUGCGGCUCAAAUCGAC
This 1380-nucleotide ribosomal RNA is filed under the name uncultured soil eukaryote. RNAcentral's name for it is "SSU rRNA". It matches the Rfam family "Eukaryotic small subunit ribosomal RNA", at positions 68 to 1199 of the family's 1831-position model. The record is from RNAcentral.